GGAAGAUACCGCUCGAAUAAGCUCGGUGGUGGUGCUGUCAAUUUCAACAAUGUAUAAAUUCACAACUGGCUACUCACUCAAAUCUAACCAACAUGAGGCUUAAUUGUACAAUUCUUGAAAAUACUUCGCACUUUUCUGGAAAAGAACACUUUUCAGUACAUGGAAAUUUCUUGAACUUAAAGAACACCAAAAAAUGGAUUAUUAAUUGCAGAAUUCAGCUCAGACCCAGCAGAAUUCAGCACUGCCGUCUCAACCUUGUCCCUUGGCAAGAAAAGGAACUCAUCCCCUUCAAUUUUCUCAAAACCGCAUAGCUCCAGAAACUCGACGCCCCCUUUCAAUGAACCAACUCUAUCCUGAAA
Molecule: unclassified non-coding RNA, 359 nt
Filed under: Hevea brasiliensis (rubber tree)
Lineage: Eukaryota; Viridiplantae; Streptophyta; Magnoliopsida; Malpighiales; Euphorbiaceae
Source: RNAcentral